Molecule: long non-coding RNA, 221 nt
Filed under: Phoenix dactylifera (date palm)
Lineage: Eukaryota; Viridiplantae; Streptophyta; Magnoliopsida; Arecales; Arecaceae
Description: long non-coding RNA (PDAC_LNC004148)
Source: RNAcentral
UGUUGUGGUGGAGGUAUUAGUGCUCUAAGAAAGUCAUUCUGUUUAUGCAUACUACACUUUAGUAUUCCCCUUGCUUUGAUAGUUGCCAAGCUUGAGAAAAAUAUAUAUAUCACAUGUGUAUUGACUUAGAUUUCAUUGUAUAUCAUUUUAUGAAUGAUGUUUGUGGGUAACAUUACUGCAAACCCUCACGAGACAACACUCGUCCACUAGGAUAACCUAGG